Molecule: ribosomal RNA, 253 nt
Filed under: uncultured bacterium
Lineage: Bacteria
Description: partial 16S ribosomal RNA
Rfam family: Bacterial small subunit ribosomal RNA
Source: RNAcentral
UACGGGGGGGGCAAGCGUUGUUCGGAAUUACUGGGCGUAAAGGGCUCGUAGGCGGCCAACUAAGUCAGACGUGAAAUCCCUCGGCUUAACCGGGGAACUGCGUCUGAUACUGGAUGGCUUGAGUUCGGGAGAGGGAAGCGGAAUUCCGGGUGUAGCGGUGAAAUGCGUAGAUAUCCGGAGGAACACCGGUGGCGAAGGCGGCUUCCUGGACCGACACUGACGCUGAGGCGCGAAAGCUAGGGGAGCAAACGGG